CGCCUCCUGCAAACCAACGACGUAUAGGAGGUCUUGCCUGCCCAGUGACAAGUUAAACGGCCGCGGUAUUUUGACCGUGCGAAGGUAGCGCAAUCACUUGUCUUUUAAAUGAAGACCUGUAUGAAUGGUGAAACGAGGGCUUAACUGUCUCCCUUUUCUAGUCAAUGAAAUUGAUCUGCCCGUGCAGAAGCGGACAUAAAAAUACAAGACGAGAAGACCCUAUGGAGCUUAAGAUAUAAAGAUCAUCUAUGUCAAUGGGCCCCACACGGCAACAAACUAAAUAGCAACUGAUCUUAAUCUUCGGUUGGGGCGACCACGGGAGAAAAUAAAGCUCCCACGCGGACUGGGGUAAACCCUAAAACCAAGAAAAACAUUUCUAAGCAACAGAACUUCUGACCAUUAAGAUCCGGCUACACGCCGACCAACGGACCAAGUUACCCUAGGGAUAACAGCGCAAUCCCCUUUCAGAGUCCAUAUCGACAAGGGGGUUUACGACCUCGAUGUUGGAUCAGGACAUCCUAAUGGUGCAGCCGCUAUUAAGGGUUCGUUUGUUCAACGAUUAAAGUCCU
This 569-nucleotide ribosomal RNA is filed under the name Glyptothorax garhwali. RNAcentral's name for it is "partial 16S ribosomal RNA". It matches the Rfam family "Bacterial large subunit ribosomal RNA", at positions 1816 to 2597 of the family's 2925-position model. The record is from RNAcentral. Lineage: Eukaryota; Metazoa; Chordata; Actinopteri; Siluriformes; Sisoridae.